This 431-nucleotide unclassified non-coding RNA is filed under the name soil metagenome. RNAcentral describes it as "partial contains 5.8S ribosomal RNA, internal transcribed spacer 2, and large subunit ribosomal RNA". The stretch from base 1 to 120 matches the Rfam family "5.8S ribosomal RNA", at positions 35 to 154 of the family's 154-position model. The record is from RNAcentral.
GAUGAAGAACGUAGCGAAAUGCGAUACGUAAUGUGAAUUGCAGAAUUCAGUGAAUCAUCGAAUCUUUGAACGCAUAUUGCGCUCUCUGGUAUUCCGGAGAGCAUGCUUGUUUGAGUAUCAGUAAACACCUCAACUUCCAUAUCUUUUUUGAAAUGGGAGUUGGACUUGAGUGAUCCCAACGCUUUUCCUCACCGAAAAGUGGCGGGUUACUUGAAAUGCAGGUGCAGCUGGACUUUUCUCUGAGCUAUAAGCAUAUCUAUUUAGUCUGCCUAAAAACAGAUUAUUACCUUUGCUGCAGCUAACAUAAAGGAGAUUAGUUCUUGUGCUGACUGAUGCAGGAUUCACAAAGACAGGCUUCGGCCGACUUUGUAAACUCGAUUCAAAUCAAGUAAGACUACCCGCUGAACUUAAGCAUAUCAAUAAGCGGAGGA